UACUAGGGCAGUCCAGCGUUGUUCGGAUUCAUUGGGCGUAAAGGGUGCGUAGGCGGCGCGGUAAGUCGGGUGUGAAAUCUCGGGGCUUAACUCCGAAACUGCAUUCGAUACUGCCGUGCUUGAGGACUGGAGAGGAGACUGGAAUUUACGGUGUAGCGGUGAAAUGCGUAGAUAUCGUAAGGAAGACCAGUGGCGAAGGCGGGUCUCUGGACAGUUCCUGACGCUGAGGCACGAAGGCCAGGGGAGCAAACGGG
Molecule: ribosomal RNA, 254 nt
Filed under: uncultured bacterium
Lineage: Bacteria
Description: partial 16S ribosomal RNA
Rfam family: Bacterial small subunit ribosomal RNA
Source: RNAcentral